Molecule: ribosomal RNA, 1162 nt
Filed under: metagenome
Description: bacterial SSU rRNA
Rfam family: Bacterial small subunit ribosomal RNA
Source: RNAcentral
AGAGUUUGAUCCUGGCUCAGAUUGAACGCUGGCGGCAUGCCUUACACAUGCAAGUCGAACGGCAGCGCGGGGCAACCUGGCGGCGAGUGGCGAACGGGUGAGUAAUAUAUCGGAACGUACCCUGGAGUGGGGGAUAACGUAGCGAAAGUUACGCUAAUACCGCAUACGAUCUAAGGAUGAAAGUGGGGGAUUCGCAAGAACCUCAUGCUCCUGGAGCGGCCGAUAUCUGAUUAGCUAGUUGGUGGGGUAAAGGCCUACCAAGGCAUCGAUCAGUAGCUGGUCUGAGAGGACGACCAGCCACACUGGGACUGAGACACGGCCCAGACUCCUACGGGAGGCAGCAGUGGGGAAUUUUGGACAAUGGGGGCAACCCUGAUCCAGCAAUGCCGCGUGAGUGAAGAAGGCCUUCGGGUUGUAAAGCUCUUUUGUCAGGGAAGAAACGGUGGUCUCUAAUACAGAUCACUAAUGACGGUACCUGAAGAAUAAGCACCGGCUAACUACGUGCCAGCAGCCGCGGUAAUACGUAGGGUGCAAGCGUUAAUCGGAAUUACUGGGCGUAAAGCGUGCGCAGGCGGUUUUGUAAGUCUGUCGUGAAAUCCCCGGGCUCAACCUGGGAAUUGCGAUGGAGACUGCAAGGCUAGAAUCUGGCAGAGGGGGGUAUAAUUCCACGUGUAGCAGUGAAAUGCGUAGAGAUGUGGAGGAACACCGAUGGCGAAGGCAGCCCCCUGGGUCAAGAUUGACGCUCAUGCACGAAAGCGUGGGGAGCAAACAGGAUUAGAUACCCUGGUAGUCCACGCCCUAAACGAUGUCUACUAGUUGUCGGGUUUUAAUUAACUUGGUAACGCAGCUAACGCGUGAAGUAGACCGCCUGGGGAGUACGGUCGCAAGAUUAAAACUCAAAGGAAUUGACGGGGACCCGCACAAGCGGUGGAUGAUGUGGAUUAAUUCGAUGCAACGCGAAAAACCUUACCUACCCUUGACAUGGAAGGAAUCCUUGAGAGAUCAGGGAGUGCUCGAAAGAGAACCUUUACACAGGUGCUGCGUGGCUGUCGUCAGCUCGUGCCGUGAGAUGUUGGGUUAAGUCCCGCAACGAGCGCAACCCUUGUCAUUAGUUGCUACGAAAGAGCACCUGGCUAUAGAGUCAAUUCAUUAAGCGUCCACU